RNAcentral lists this ribosomal RNA (371 nucleotides) under uncultured organism. Its description in RNAcentral is "bacterial SSU rRNA". It matches the Rfam family "Bacterial small subunit ribosomal RNA", at positions 527 to 896 of the family's 1533-position model. The record is from RNAcentral.
CAGGGGGGCAAGCGUUGUUCGGAAUUACUGGGCGUAAAGGGCGUGUAGGUGGCCAACUAAGUCCAACGUGAAAUCCCCAGGCUUAACCUGGGAACUGCGUCGGAUACUGGAUGGCUUGAAUCCGGGAGAGGGAUGCGGAAUUCCAGGUGUAGCGGUGAAAUGCGUAGAUAUCUGGAGGAACACCGGUGGCGAAGGCGGCAUCCUGGACCGGUAUUGACACUGAAGCGCGAAAGCCAGGGGAGCAAACGGGAUUAGAUACCCCGGUAGUCCUGGCCCUAAACGAUGAAUGUUUGGUGUGGCGGGUAUCGAUCCCUGCCGUGCCGAAGCUAACGCAUUAAACAUUCCGCCUGGGGAGUACGGUCGCAAGGCUG